This 293-nucleotide ribosomal RNA is filed under the name uncultured bacterium. Its description in RNAcentral is "partial 16S ribosomal RNA". The record is from RNAcentral.
GGACUACUGGGGUAUCUAAUCCCGUUUGCUACCCACGCUUUCGUGCCUGAGUGUCAGGAACGAGCCAGUAGACUGCUUACGCCAUCGGUGUUCCUCCCAAUAUCUACGGAUUUCACUCCUACACUGGGAAUUCCAUCUACCUCUCUCGUCCUCUAGCUUGGCAGUUCAGACAAUGUAUAUACGGUUGAGCCGUACGCUUUCACUGUCUGCUUACCAUGCCACCUACGCAACUCUUUACGCCCAGUAAUUCCGGAUAACGCUUGGAUCCUCCGUAUUACCGCGGCUGCUGGCAC